GAUGAAGAACGCAGCGAAAUGCGAUAAGUAAUGUGAAUUGCAGAAUUCAGUGAAUUAUCGAAUCUUUGAACGCACAUUGCGCCCCCUGGUAUUCCGGGGGGCAUGCCUGUUCGAGCGUCAUUUCACCACUCAAGCCUCGCUUGGUAUUGGGCAACGCGGUCCGCCGCGUGCCUCAAAUCGUCCGGCUGGGUCUUCUGUCCCCUAAGCGUUGUGGAAACUAUUCGCUAAAGGGUGUUCGGGAGGCUACGCCGUAAAACAACCCCAUUUCUAAGGUUGACCUCGGAUCAGGUAGGGAUACCCGCUGAACUUAAGCAUAUCAAUAAGCGGAGGA
This 331-nucleotide unclassified non-coding RNA is filed under the name soil metagenome. RNAcentral describes it as "partial contains 5.8S ribosomal RNA, internal transcribed spacer 2, and large subunit ribosomal RNA". The stretch from base 1 to 120 matches the Rfam family "5.8S ribosomal RNA", at positions 35 to 154 of the family's 154-position model. The record is from RNAcentral.